GACGAACGCUGGCGGCGUGCUUAACACAUGCAAGUCGAACGGAAAGGCCCUGCUUUUGUGGGGUGCUCGAGUGGCGAACGGGUGAGUAACACGUGAGUAACCUGCCCUUGACUUUGGGAUAACUUCAGGAAACUGGGGCUAAUACCGGAUAGGAGCUCCUGCUGCAUGGUGGGGGUUGGAAAGUUUCGGCGGUUGGGGAUGGACUCGCGGCUUAUCAGCUUGUUGGUGGGGUAGUGGCUUACCAAGGGUUUGACGGGUAGCCGGCCUGGGAGGGUGACCGGCCACAUUGGGACUGAGAGACGGCCCAGACUCCUACGGGAGGCAGCAGUGGGGAAUAUUGCACAAUGGGCGGAAGCCUGAUGCAGCAACGCCGCGUGCGGGAUGACGGCCUUCGGGUUGUAAACCGCUUUCGCCUGUGACGAAGCGUGAGUGACGGUAAUGGGUAAAGAAGCACCGGCUAACUACGUG
RNAcentral lists this ribosomal RNA (468 nucleotides) under uncultured bacterium. Its description in RNAcentral is "partial 16S ribosomal RNA". It matches the Rfam family "Bacterial small subunit ribosomal RNA", at positions 28 to 507 of the family's 1533-position model. The record is from RNAcentral.